AGCAGCAUGGCGCAGAUGGAAGCGCGCGGGGCCCAUAUUUACGUAAUCAGGAACCCCGAGGUCACUCGAUCGAAACGAGUUGCUGCUA
Mycena capillaripes is the source of this 88-nucleotide non-coding RNA. The record is from the annotation of a GenBank genome assembly. Lineage: Eukaryota; Fungi; Basidiomycota; Agaricomycetes; Agaricales; Mycenaceae.